AACUUAAACUACAUGUAUAAGUCAAAAAUUGGAAGAAAGCAAUCAUUCUUUCAUCUUUUCCUCUCAAAACCCGAAUGUAAGAAAGGAGAAAAUCCUUCGUCACGUUCAAGCUUUGGCCCCUGGUAUUUUGGAUGCGUACAAAUGCUAGUGUUGCCAAUGUCAACGGUGACACCCAAAAAUAUAAUUUUUUAAUCCCUGUCUCCAAUGAUUGGAUGAAAAUGAUAGGUGGUGACACCAAUGGCAACAGCGUCACCAACCUUUACUAUUCAAAACGGGUCAUUUGCGUACAUGAUUUUUAAAGUGGGUUAUUUUUGUAAAUAAUCAAAACUUUUGAGGUUAUUUUUAUAUAAAAAAGUCAUCAAUUUAGAGUUUCCA
Molecule: long non-coding RNA, 375 nt
Organism: Gossypium arboreum
Lineage: Eukaryota; Viridiplantae; Streptophyta; Magnoliopsida; Malvales; Malvaceae
Exons: 2
Source: RefSeq, a predicted model, not a curated record